RNAcentral lists this ribosomal RNA (652 nucleotides) under Thermomonas sp. FLA17. RNAcentral describes it as "bacterial SSU rRNA". It matches the Rfam family "Bacterial small subunit ribosomal RNA", at positions 38 to 680 of the family's 1533-position model. Lineage: Bacteria; Pseudomonadati; Pseudomonadota; Gammaproteobacteria; Lysobacterales; Lysobacteraceae. The record is from RNAcentral.
GGCGGCAGGCCUAAUACAUGCAAGUCGAACGGCAGCACAGUGGAGCUUGCUCCUGGGUGGCGAGUGGCGGACGGGUGAGGAAUACAUGGGAAUCUGCCCAGUCGUGGGGGAUAACGUAGGGAAACUUACGCUAAUACCGCAUGCGCCCUUCGGGGGAAAGCCGGGGACCUUCGGGCCUGGCGCGAUUGGAUGAGCCCAUGUUCGAUUAGCUAGUUGGCGGGGUAAAGGCCCACCAAGGCGACGAUCGAUAGCUGGUCUGAGAGGAUGAUCAGCCACACUGGGACUGAGACACGGCCCAGACUCCUACGGGAGGCAGCAGUAGGGAAUAUUGGACAAUGGGCGCAAGCCUGAUCCAGCCAUGCCGCGUGAGUGAAGAAGGCCCUCGGGUUGUAAAGCUCUUUUGUCCGGGAAGAAAAGCAUCGGGCUAAUACCUCGGUGUUCUGACGGUACCGGAAGAAUAAGCACCGGCUAACUUCGUGCCAGCAGCCGCGGUAAUACGAAGGGUGCAAGCGUUACUCGGAAUUACUGGGCGUAAAGCGUGCGUAGGUGGUUUGUUAAGUCUGAUGUGAAAGCCCUGGGCUCAACCUGGGAAUGGCAUUGGAAACUGGCGGACUCGAGUGCGGUAGAGGGGUGUGGAAUUCCCGGUGUAGCA